AGCUGGCUGAACCAAUUUCUCAUACGGACCGUUCGACCGUUCGGGCGUGUCAACGAUGUGAGUACAGGAAUGGAGGGACGGAAAAGGUGAGCACGGGAGUGCAUUAGAGAGAAGAUACGCAGAAUGAAAAGGCACAUGAGAGACAUAGUUGAUUGAAGAGACGCAGAGCAUAAUCGGUUCUGUUGAAUACAGGCAAAAGAAAAGGAUAUUUGUGUGCGUUUGUUGUGAGGGCAAGAAGGUCAGAGGAGAGCGACCGUUAUUCUAAUGAGAGAGAGUGACUAGGAAGACAGAAGAGACGGAGAGAGGGAAAUAUGAAAAUACGUCAUUUCUGAACUGAUCGCCGGAAAUGAUUGAAAUAUUGCGCUAUAGGUGAGAUCUUUAUCACAGAAAGCGAAAGCUAGACAUCCAAAAAGUAAA
This is a non-coding RNA of Caenorhabditis elegans, 417 nucleotides long. The record is from Ensembl. Lineage: Eukaryota; Metazoa; Nematoda; Chromadorea; Rhabditida; Rhabditidae.